This 381-nucleotide unclassified non-coding RNA is filed under the name uncultured bacterium. Its description in RNAcentral is "contains 16S-23S intergenic spacer region". The record is from RNAcentral.
UCCGGUUUGUCACCGGCAGUCCUUCAUGAGUCCCCGACAUUACUCGCUGGCAACAUAGGACGAGGGUUGCGCUCGUUGCGGGACUUAACCCAACAUCUCACGACACGAGCUGACGACAGCCAUGCAGCACCUGUGUUCCCGUUCCCUUUCGGGCACACCCGGCUUUCACCGGGCUCCAGGACAUGUCAAGGGUAGGUAAGGUUUUUCGCGUUGCAUCGAAUUAAACCACACGCUCCGCUGCUUGUGCGGGCCCCCGCCUAUUCCUUUGAGUUUUAACCUUGCGGCCGUAGUCCCCAGGCGGUGAACUUAAUGCGUUAGCUGCGGCACUGAUCGGGUCAAUCCGACCAACACCUAGUUCACAACGUUUAGGGCGUGGACUAC